This 21-nucleotide non-coding RNA is filed under the name Arabidopsis thaliana (thale cress). The record is from RNAcentral. Lineage: Eukaryota; Viridiplantae; Streptophyta; Magnoliopsida; Brassicales; Brassicaceae.
GAGAGCCGUUCCCAGUCCGUC